RNAcentral lists this ribosomal RNA (253 nucleotides) under uncultured bacterium. RNAcentral's name for it is "partial 16S ribosomal RNA". It matches the Rfam family "Bacterial small subunit ribosomal RNA", at positions 524 to 776 of the family's 1533-position model. The record is from RNAcentral.
GACGGAGGAUGCAAGCGUUAUCCGGAAUUAUUGGGCGUAAAGCGUCCGCAGGUGGCAGUUCAAGUCUGCUGUGAAAGACCGGGGCUUAACUUCGGAAAGGCAGUGGAAACUGAACAGCUAGAGUAUGGUAGGGGCAGAGGGAAUUCCUGGUGUAGCGGUGAAAUGCGUAGAGAUCAGGAAGAACAUCGGUGGCGAAGGCGCUCUGCUGGACCAUAACUGACACUCAUGGACGAAAGCUAGGGGAGCGAAUGGG